RNAcentral lists this ribosomal RNA (407 nucleotides) under uncultured bacterium. RNAcentral's name for it is "bacterial SSU rRNA". It matches the Rfam family "Bacterial small subunit ribosomal RNA", at positions 976 to 1371 of the family's 1533-position model. The record is from RNAcentral.
AUCCCUUGACAUCCUGCGAACUUUCUAGAGAUAGAUUGGUGCCUUCGGGAACGCAGUGACAGGUGCUGCAUGGCUGUCGUCAGCUCGUGUCGUGAGAUGUUGGGUUAAGUCCCGCAACGAGCGCAACCCUUAUCAUUAGUUGCUAACAUUUAGUUGAGAACUCUAAUGAGACUGCCGGUGAUAAACCGGAGGAAGGCGGGGACGACGUCAAGUCAUCAUGGCCCUUAUGGGAUGGGCUACACACGUGCUACAAUGGGGGGUACAAAGAGCAGCCAACUGGCGACAGUGCGCGAAUCUCAUAAAACCUCUCGUAGUCCGGAUCGGAGUCUGCAACUCGACUCCGUGAAGUCGGAAUCGCUAGUAAUCGUGAAUCAGAAUGUCACGGUGAAUACGUAAAAAGGGGUCCU